CUGCUGCCUUCCGUAGGAGUUUGGGCCGUGUCUCAGUCCCAAUGUGGCCGUCCACCCUCUCAGGCCGGCUACUGAUCGUCGCCUUGGUGGGCCCCUACCCCGCCAACAAGCUAAUCAGACGCGGGUCCAUCUUACACCACCGGAGUUUUUCACACCGGGCCAUGCGGCCCUGUGCGCUUAUGCGGUAUUAGCACCUGUUUCCAGGUGUUAUCCCCCUGUGUAAGGCAGGUUACCCACGCGUUACUCACCCGUCCGCCACUUGAAUG
This 266-nucleotide ribosomal RNA is filed under the name uncultured bacterium. Its description in RNAcentral is "partial 16S ribosomal RNA". The record is from RNAcentral.